GACGAACGCUGGCGGCGUGCUUAACACAUGCAAGUCGAACGAUGAAGCCGGAGCUUGCUCUGGUGAAUUAGUGGCGAACGGGUGAGUAAAACGUGAGUAACCUGCUCUUGACUCUGGGAUAACUGCGGGAAAACGUAGCUAAUACCGGAUACGACCCUCGGAGGCUUCUCCUGGGGGUGGAAAGACUUUCAGUCAAGGAUGGACUUGCGGCCUAUCAGCUAGUUGGUGAGGGAAAGGCUCACAAAGGGGAAGACGGGUAGCCGGCCUGAGAGGGUGAACGACCACACUGGGACUAAGACAAGGCCCAGACUCCUAAGGGAGGCAGCAGUGGGGAAUAUUGCACAAUGGGCGCAAGCCUGAUGCAGCAACGCCGCGUGAGGGAUGACGGCCUUCGGGUUGUAAACCUCUUUUAGCAGGGAAGAAGCGAAAGUGACGGUACCUGCAGAAAAAGCACCGGCUAACUACGUGCCAGCCGCCGCGGUAA
This 484-nucleotide ribosomal RNA is filed under the name uncultured bacterium. RNAcentral describes it as "partial 16S ribosomal RNA". It matches the Rfam family "Bacterial small subunit ribosomal RNA", at positions 28 to 523 of the family's 1533-position model. The record is from RNAcentral.